Molecule: ribosomal RNA, 253 nt
Filed under: uncultured bacterium
Lineage: Bacteria
Description: partial 16S ribosomal RNA
Rfam family: Bacterial small subunit ribosomal RNA
Source: RNAcentral
UACGGGGGGGGCAAGCGUUGUUCGGAAUUACUGGGCGGAAAGGGCUCGUAGGCGGCCAACUAAGUCAGACGUGAAAUCCCUCGGCUUAACCGGGGAACUGCGUCUGAUACUGGAUGGCUUGAGAUUGGGAGAGGGAUGCGGAAUUCCAGGUGUAGCGGUGAAAUGCGUAGAUAUCUGGAGGAACACCGGUGGCGAAGGCGACAUCCUGGACCAACACUGACGCUGAUGCGCGAAAGCCAGGGGAGCAAACGGG